AUUUUAUACAGAAAAUAAACCAUACUUGGAACAGUUAUCUUCGUUACUCGCGUAAUUCUAAUUGUCGUUUCGUUACGUAGACUAGAAUAAACAUGACCUAAAAAUACGUUCAUACUGGUUACCUGUAACAGUUUAACACCACUGACGUUCUACAUAAAAUAUGCCGUCUCUCCCCCCCUACCGACAUUGAAUUUUUCUUCCGAAAUUAGCUAGCCAAUAUUUUAUUAAACUUACGCGAAAAAAAAAGAUGAUUAUUACCAUCGAUUAAUCAUCCGGCCGCGAAUUAUUUUAGCGACAAAACCUGAACACACCAAGCGUUACGUCUCUUUUUUUGAUACCCUUUAGGAUAAUCCAGUUUGCAUCAUUUUCGAGAAUUUAUUUUAUUUAUUUUUUUAAGAUAUUCGCGUCACGCCUCUCGUUCGUCUUUGUUCUUUUUUUAAUGAAGUUUUUAGACAUCAAACAUGCAUAAAUUCGUACUCCGCACACCAGUUAUUCAACUUUUAAACUUAAAUCGGGUCAAGUAUCACCCACCGUCGUUACAGACCUAUCGCCACGAUCGAAUGGUAAUCAGCGAUCGCCUUCUAUUAUUCAGUUUUUAAAUAAGAAAACAAGGUCGUACUGUUAAGUUCGACGUGUUUUUUUAUGUACGGUGAUGAACAGCUGUUUUCCAGUAUCAGUUCUGUGACACCUACUUCGUCGUCUUUGGGGGAUGGCGCGGUAAAACUGACCUAUUUGAUCGAGAGAGUUAGAGACGACCGGAACCCACGCUGGUUAAACUGGUGAAGUUUACCUUGAAGUAAAGAGAUAGGUCAAAAGUGUAUGACGAUAAAAAAAAAAAAUGGCAAUGUGCCUAAAAACGUGUGUUCACCAGUAUAAACGAUAAAAGACGAAUCGAGAAUGAAUAAAAUCGUUUCGAUAAAGUUCGAUUACGUAACGGAAAUUGGUUGGAAGACGCUAAUGUCAAAAAGUUCGCGCUGGAUCGGGCCCGAAGUCAGGAAAUUCCAGUUGAUAACCAGUGGUAUGUGCACGAAGUAGAGGUGGUUUCUGCGCGCAUCCAGCCCCGUGAAGAUAAAAAAGAAAUCCAAAAUGUGUAAGAAACAAGAAAUUUUUUUCUUUAUAAAAGAUACGAGAGAUGUUUGGCAAGAAACAUCGACUUUUUGUGAUAGGUUGGUUUUACAGACGUUAAGUUAACAAAUGAUCGAUUCCCAAAAAUUCGAAGCGUUAUUUUAAAGGCUGGUUAUAACCAGGUAAAAGUCGAUAAUGUUUAUUUUAUCAUCUAUUUUUACAUAUUCGAUUUUGAAAUUAAAUGUUGUGUUAAAAAUUAACGAAUGACAGCGUCGGAUAAAAAUAUGGAAGGAGUUGGGGAGUGGCGUGUAGAAAAAAUGACUUCGAUCAAAACACAUUGAUAAAUAUCGGAAGCGGAUCAUAUUUGUGUUUGGUGGUCGGGUGAGGUAGUUAAUGGUCUCUGACCGAAAGUAAACAAAAGAGUUCCUUCCCCCUAUCGAACGGAUGAAUAUCAUCGGAAAACGUUUGUACCGCUAUAGAAAACUAAGAAGUUCUUUGCUAUAGAAACUAAGAAGUUUUGUUCAAAUAAUAAGUUUAAGUAAAAAUUUCCGUGUAUUUUAUUUUUCUCUUUAUAUAAAAUACGCGCUUAAUAUAGCGAAAGUAUUUAUUAUUUUAGUAUACUAUAAAUAUAUCUAUAAAGAUUUACUUAAGGCGUAUCUAGCGAAGGAUGAAUGCAUCGAAUGCCAAAUUCUCGACAGAUAGCCUAGAGGUUCUCGAUAUAGAUCACUGACGAUUUAAUGCGGACAUUCGGGAUUCUUUUCCGAUAAACAAUAACUAAUGGUUUUUCCUUCCUCGUUAUUAAGUAAAUGCCGUGUCUUGUUAAAAUAUAAAGAGAAAAAACAAAGCCAAAAAACAAAACUGAGUUCUAUAUAGAACUUAAACAGUUUUGUAUUUUUGUAAACGUUUGGAUAAGCGGUAUUGUGUUUGGAUUGAAAAAAAUAUGGCUGAAAUUUUGUUCGAGUAAAUUGAUGCCAACAUAUUAUAAGACGAAAGUGAUCAUUUUUUGCCUCCGAUUUAAUCCGCCAUCUUUGAACAAGAUGGAGGACAAAAAUAAAAAUGUCGAGAUCCCAUUACAGCCUUCUCAUAAAUCUACACUUCUUAUAAAUUUGGUUUGGUUUGGAAUGUAAACAAAAUAUUUAGAAUGUUAGAAACGUGCACCUACACGGUUAUCACAUUAACCUACUUUCUUUUCCAGAAUAGGCUACUAAGUAUAAUUAUUUUGAUUUCGAAAAUCUUUGUUUCUGUUUCGAAAAUUCGGUAUGUGUACCGCGAUUAUUAUAAAAUUAUUUAUAUACUUAUCACAAUAGCAUCGUUUUUAUUUUUAUUUUUUUGUGUGUCAACUAAAAGCGUAAACGUGUCGUUACCUGAAAGACGAAUUUCACCUUUGUCGAUGACCAAUAACUAAUACUUUCGCCGCUAUAUGUCAUGGCUGGCCAUCCAAACGAAGGAACAAUCGAAAUCGUCGACGAAGCGCGCUUUAUUUAGUGAAGAAGCGCUAUUACCAGCCGUUGGCCAUUACAUCGACCUCGAUCGUCGAUGUCGUGCCAUUUGGGAUACCCUUGACCCGUGACUCGGGUUGCGCGUCCAGGUAUGCACCCUCACUUCGCACUCGGCAUUCCUAGUGGCAUUCGUUUGGCGCGCGUCAGCUGUUGGUCUCGUCAAGGUCGCUUUAUAGGGGAAAGAGCCGCGUGACGUCACGGCCAUUCCAUCGACAUUAGAAAUAAAGGCUUUAGUUAUGUAUUUUAAUUGCGUAAAUUCCAAGUAUUUGCCACAUAAAUCCAAAAAAUCUUUUAUUUUCUUUUUCGAGAGUGAGCCGAUUACACCCAAAAUACCUUCGCAGCUAGACUAGCGGUAAUUGGAUUUUUCUGACCGUGUUGUGUGUAGAUAGGGUGCUUAUGGGAUUCCAAUCAGUAGCUAGUCAGCCUGGUAGGAGGUAUAGUCAACGAACUUUACUUAAUCUUAUAUAAAUAGCGGUCGUGUCUUAUUACCUAACUCGGCGUUAAGAGAAAAUUUAAUAAUCUUAAAAAAAAAUCACGAAAACAACCUUCAUUUUUUUAAGAUUCGAUAAACAGACCUAGUAUAUAUAAAGCGCUUAAAAAAAUCACAGUAGUAGUUUCACCAGCGAGUUGGAUCCAAAUAUCCACGUUACGCCCCUGUAACGAUACUCGCAUACCAAAGAAGACACCCCCAGGCAUAACAGAUACAACAUAAACAUUCUUUCGUCCCAAGGCCAGGCAGAGUUUGGUUCAUCUUAACGACUAUCCGUAGCUCCACGCCAUUCUUUAUAUAUAGGCUAUAUAAUAUAUAUUGUACGUCGUCUGUAUUCGAGACAAUAAAGAAUAUAUUUCAGUUUACGUUUUAGCUUCUAAGAAGACCAUUUGUUCUGUAAGGGAAGCUUUCAUCCAACACAUUUCUUUCAACUUUAUUAACUUUUUUUUUGCUUAGCCAUUUUUCAAAAAAGACAAUUAGCCGUAUUAACCUUGAAAGAGAUAGUUACAGUCACAGAUUUAAAAAAAAAUCUUUCCUAGAAACACACCAAGAAGUGGAGUUUCAUAAUACGAUGAUGUCAUCCGUCGCCAGUGGUAUGUGUAAAGGGCGUUUGGGUUUCGAAACACUCCGGAAAUGGGCUAAAAAUUAUACCAUCGAUUCGUUUUUUUAUCUAUUUCGAUAGAGCGUGAAGAACAGACGAGCGUGUAAGAGGUUUAACAAGUAUUUACUUAGAAAACUUUCCGUGUAGUUUGUCUCGAGUUUUCCUUAGCGUGCAAAUAUGUCGGCCGAGUAUCACGUAUUGACAAUUGAUUAAUGUACGAAGCGCUCAAGGUCCGCGUUGUUUAUGUCCCUUCUCGAUGCCGGGCUCCACCCGCCAAAUUACACUACUCUUUCGCGUUGUUUAGAUUUUAAUUUGUAUCUUUCUUUAUUAACCAACCACCAAAUUAUAAUAUACUAGGCAUCAAAAGACGUAUUUGGCAAUAUUGUAUAUUAAUGUGUCAGCUUACGGGUAAAAGCGCGAAGAAAACAUUAGUAAUUUUGUCGCUAUGAAGAGUAGUCAUUUCGUCGAUCGAUAUAAAUAAUAUACCAAGGGAAUGAAGAAGAACUUUUUAAUUUUCUAUAUUUGGAGUUCAAAAUGCAAAAAUAAGAAUUUCUGUAGCCUCAAAGAAAUAGGUCACGGUGUAAUCCGGAGAGAUUAUGUCGCGCUUUUCCGGAUGCGUAAUAGAUUAGCGUUCAAUUUUGGACCGAAAUGGGAUAAUCGCUAAUUUCGGGGUGGUCACUUUUCACGCAAAUUGCGAAAUAACGCUCGGUUCGGUUAUUUACUUGAUUUAUUUUAAGGUUUUUUUGACCGUAAAAAUGGAAACAAAUCUUCCGGUGCGAAAUAAAACUUCUAUUAUUUAAACGAAACCAUACCGCCUAAUACCCGCAUUUAUUCCAUUUUUCGUUAUUCGAUAUUUAAUGGUAUGAAAGAAUGAAUAAGGCAAUUAAAAAUGUAAGGGUUUAUGUUCUGUCGGUCAUGACAAACCCAAGUUUUGUUUUUCAAAUACAAUACGCUUAUUAUUCUUUCUGUACUUACUCGUUUUGAAAUACAUAUUUUAGAUAUUAAGAUUUCUUUUCCUUUAAAUAUUUCUCUAAAAUGUAGCGAU
This 4700-nucleotide long non-coding RNA is filed under the name Androctonus crassicauda. The record is from RNAcentral. Lineage: Eukaryota; Metazoa; Arthropoda; Arachnida; Scorpiones; Buthidae.